UCAGGGGCGGGACGAGGCGAGACGACCAUGAAGUGCGCCGGCGCCUGGCCUCCUCACCCGCCCACAGUCUCCCACCACCCCGCCCGUCCUCCCCAAGACCCCUUCUGAGCCUAUGCCACUGUAUCUGAGGCGGUUCUGGGGGUCGUAGAGUCCUCCGAGUCUUCCCUUUCAACUGUUAUGUCGCUAUGGCCGUAAGUCAGUGGAACAAAGCUGGGGCAGCCAGGCCAGAUGCGAGAGGGGCGAGCUCUGGGGUCCUUGCUGACUGGUGAGCAGGCCACAGGGACGCUGGAGAGUGUAGAGCAUCUGAAAACUUCGCUGAGGAAAAGUUAGUCCCUGUCUCUGGGAAGGGUGACUGCCAGCCAGCAUUCGGUGUAAGGACAGCGUGAGGACCUCACAGUGCCCCUCUGCCAUGUGCCACUCUGCCUUAGAGCCAGCCAACUAUGGAUUGAAACCUCUAUGAAGGAUUCUAUAAAUGAGGAAAUGGCCACACGGCCAGUCUUCUUUUUCAUCUGAUCCAUUAUAAAAUAAACUCAGGUCAAGACUCAAUCUCCAAAGAAGACAACCGCUUCUUGUGAGUCAGAAGCAGCCAUGUGGGCCAGAAGGAGAAGCAAGAAGCCAGUCCCUUCCCGUGAGCCAGUCAGUGGCAGCCAUAUGUGCUGGAAGAAGAAACAAGAAGCCAACCCCUUCUCAGUGACAGUUGUGGGGCUACCAAGAGGGAGAAACAAGCAGCCAUCUCCUUCCUAUGAAUCAGAGGCAAUCAUGAGCCACCAGGAGGAGAAACAUGAAGCCAGUCACUUCUUAUGAUGCAAAAGCAUCCAUGUGGGCCAGUUCCUUCCCAUGAGCCAACCACGAGACCCCCCACCCGUGUAAGCAACUGGCUGAUUCAGAGAAACACAGACUGCAGUGAGAGCUACUGAAGAAAACAAACAAAAAAAAAAAGCUUUGUAGUGUUUAGUAUUUGAUUGACUUUGCAGGCCUCAAGCUGGUAAUCUGAGCACCUAUUUAGAUGAUAAUGAUACGCAAUAUAGCAACCAUGAGGGAUUUCCUUCUGAAGGUGGUAACCAUUGUUGAUUCCCUGCUGUCCUGUUUUAAAGUCUGGUAUCACUUUCGUUAUUUUGUUUUGUUUGAUUUUCUUCUGUUUUGUUUUGCUUGAUUUUUAUUAUGUCUGGGUGGCAUGGGCAGCUAUUUCAAUGAUAAUAAGAUAUAUUGUGGUAGCCAUUGUUUUCUAUUUUCUUUUUCUAUUAUCAGAUUAGAUAAUUUAUUUUCUAUUAUCUUUUUUGAGGCCCUGGAUCACUUUCAUUGCUGUGUUUUGAUUGGCUUGGUUCUGUCUUGUUUUAUUUGGUUUUAUUAUCUUUCAAAUAAAAAAAUUAACAAGACUUGAUCUGCAUAUGCCCCAUUCUAACUGACACCAUGAUAGCACUUGGGUCUCUGAAAAUCAAUUUAUUAAAAUCCAGUAGAAUCUCUAAGCAUUUUCCUUUCUUACUGCUCUGUUUCCUUGACAAAUGUGGCAGGUUCCUCUGGGACAGUUCCCCUAGGCUGGAUGUACACAGUGUGUGCCAGUUACAAAAGAUAUCUCCAUAGGGACUCGGCUCCCUUCAGCCAAGGAAUCUGACAUCUGUGAACCAAGAACUCAAUAUUUAGAUGUGUGAAUUGGAUAUUUAUUUAUCCACUUUUAAACACUGCAUACUGUUCCUUAGCUGUGUGGCAAAAAUCAUGUAGAUCACUAAAUUUCUUUAAAAAAUUCUCAUGCUAUGAUCUGAAUGUUAGUAUCCCCCAAAAUUCACAUGUUGAAACCAAAACUCCCAGUGUAGUAGCACUAAGAGGUGGAGCUUCUAGGAGAUGACUAGAUCAUGGAGAUGUAACUUCAUAAAAUGGGAUAUUGCCUAAAAAAAGAAAUUUAAUGGAGCAAGUUUUCACUUUUCACUGUGUGAGGACACAGUAGAAACCAUUUUUAAAGCAAAGAACAAGCCCUUACCCAGCACUGAAUCGGCACUAAUUUUGAACUUUCCACCCUCCAUAUGUAAUAAAUUUCUGUCCUUCAUAAAUUAUGUAAUCUGGUACAGCAACAGGAAUGGACUAAUAUGACUUGUUAGGAAUAUAAUCCAAUGUGCUACCUAUGAAGCAUUCAUCUGAAAGCAACAUAUGUAAAAAUCUAUAUGAAAGAGUAUUAUUUAAAUAAAGAUAUAUACACCUACUGUGUGCCAAAA
This is a long non-coding RNA of Cavia porcellus (domestic guinea pig), 2207 nucleotides long. RefSeq lists it as uncharacterized. The transcript has 3 exons. Lineage: Eukaryota; Metazoa; Chordata; Mammalia; Rodentia; Caviidae. The record is from RefSeq and is a predicted model, not a curated record.